RNAcentral lists this ribosomal RNA (494 nucleotides) under uncultured bacterium. RNAcentral's name for it is "partial 16S ribosomal RNA". It matches the Rfam family "Bacterial small subunit ribosomal RNA", at positions 28 to 507 of the family's 1533-position model. The record is from RNAcentral.
GACGAACGCUGGCGGCGUGCUUAACACAUGCAAGUCGAACGGAAAGGCCUGCUUUCCCUUGUGGAUUGCGGGUACUCGAGUGGCGAACGGGUGAGUAACACGUGACUGAUCUGCCCCCAACUUGGGUAUAAGCCUGGGAACCUGGGUCUAAUUCCCGAUAGGACUGCAGGGUGGUGCCUGUGGUGGAAAACGAUUUUCUAGUGGUUGGGGAUGAGCUCGCGGCCUAUCAGCUUGUGGGUGGGGUAAUGGCCUACCAAGGCGGGGACGGGUAGCCGGCGUGAGAGGGGGGACGGUGACAGUGGGACUGGGAUACGGCCCAGACGGCUACGGGAGGCAGCAGUGGGGAGUAAAGGACAAUGAGCGUGAGCCAGAUGCAGCGACUGCGCGUAGAAGAUGACGGGCUUCGGGUUGUAUACUCCUUUCGACCGAGAGGAAGCCACCUGGUUGGAAGGGUGGUGACGGUAGUGGUAGAAGAAGCACCGGCUAACUACGUG